This 271-nucleotide ribosomal RNA is filed under the name uncultured prokaryote. Its description in RNAcentral is "partial 16S ribosomal RNA". It matches the Rfam family "Bacterial small subunit ribosomal RNA", at positions 524 to 794 of the family's 1533-position model. The record is from RNAcentral.
UACGGAGGGUGCAAGCGUUAUCCGGAAUCACUGGGCGUAAAGGGCGCGUAGGUGGUCUGUUAAGUCUGGCGUUAAAGCCUGGGGCUCAACCCCAGAUCAGCGUUGGAUACUGGCAGGCUAGAAGGUUGGAGAGGCGAGUGGAAUUACCAGUGUAGCGGUGGAAUGCGUAGAUACUGGUAGGAACACCCAUUGCGAAGGCAGCUCGCUGGACAACACGUGACACUGAGGCGCGAAAGUGUGAAGAACAAACCGGGUUAGAUACCCGUGUAGU